UCCGCAAGCUGUCAACAAAGGAGGCUCAGGUUUGGCAUCGGGAGGCCGCCCCGCUACCCGCCCUGCGCCUAGCUCAGCCCCGGCCCACCAGCCACCUUAAGUGGCCAAGGGGGCGAGGAAAAUGCUGCCAGGGUUUGGGGAUUCGGGUGGAGGCCCUGCGAGCCCAGCUGGCUUAGCCUUCGGUGUGGCGGGGUAGGAAGUGGGUUGUGUGUGUCAGGACCCAAGCACAGAGGGUGAGGACAGUAGGGGACGGAAGCUCUCCCUCCCUUGACAACACCUGUCACCGCGCGCGCAUACGGCACACUCUCUUCAUUUUUAAUUCGAGUGAGGGGUGAAUGGGAAGGAACAGGACUUGUCUACUGGGUUUGAGACAGGGGUCUCGGAAUUUGUGAGACUAGAUGUCUUCGCGUGGAUUUCAAAAAGCCACCAAGCUGCCGGAUGAGGGAUCCUGGGUGUCUGUCAAGUCCUGACUUGGAUGGGGGCGAUGGGGACAUGGGAGGGGAGCUUCUUGUGUCCAGACCUGGAGAGCCUGCCUGGCAGGGGAAUCAGAGAGAUGGAGAUCUGGUCUCCCCAUCCAGACAGUCUAGUCUAUCCUCUUACGUGUGGCUUGACUGAAUCUAAACCACAAUGUAUUAAGGAAGAUGAUUUGAAGAAGAUGCUAGAAGAUUUUGGAACACUUUCCCUAUUUGUUCAAUGCAUAGAACAUCAGUCUGGCCGGCUACACCAAAGACCACCAGUGGUCGGGUUGGAAAUAAAGCUUGAAGUGGAACAUUAGGGCCUUCUUGUUCUAAAUCAAGUGCUGCAUGAUCCUGAGAUCACAUCUCUUCCUCAUGCCUCAAUUUAAUCACAUUUUAGGAAGAUAAAAAUACAAGUUAAGUAAUUUUCUGAUACUGUCCUCCCAUCCCCACUUACAUGGUCCAGAAGUAAAUUCUAGCAUAAAGAGCAAGGAAGCAUAAAAUGGAAGAGACCCCUCUACUCACCCCAUCUUUCACUCCUAUGCCUCCCAUCUCCUUACUGAACAAGGGAAGAGAAAGAGGAAUUGAGGAAGAGAGAAAGAGAGAGCACAUUUUGCCAGCAGGUGACAACAUGCCAUCCUGUUUCCACAUUGCCCCUGAACAGGGUCUGAGAUCUGUGUUCUGUGAGACUGUGGAAAUAUCUGCCAUCAGCACAGCAAUGGGAGCAGCACUAAGCUUGCCUGCUGGGAGGUAACCUGAAUGAAAUACCCCUAACUUCUCUAGACCUCAGUUUUUCCAUCUAUAAGGUGGGAAUUUCUACCUUCAAUCUCCAGAUAGCCUAAGGA
Nycticebus coucang (slow loris) is the source of this 1300-nucleotide long non-coding RNA. RefSeq lists it as uncharacterized. Lineage: Eukaryota; Metazoa; Chordata; Mammalia; Primates; Lorisidae. The record is from RefSeq and is a predicted model, not a curated record. The transcript has 3 exons.